GGAUUUUUUUAAUUCCUUCUUAAUUACGUAUGUAGACAAUAAAUUUGCGCCGAGAAAAUAAAAUCAAGACGGAAAAAUAUCACAACAAUCGUAGUAUUUUAUUUCAAAUAUUUGAGUGUUAUAAUCUCUAUGAAUCCUCUGAUUCUUUUUUCCAAUAGUAAAUAAAUUCAAGGGCCUUUGUGCUUGAUCUUGAAUCUAUAUUUAUUUCCACGAACGAUGAUCUUGUUCUUGAUCUUGAGCUUGAGCUUGAUUGCUUGAACCUG
RNAcentral lists this long non-coding RNA (263 nucleotides) under Nicotiana benthamiana. Its description in RNAcentral is "long non-coding RNA (NBEN_LNC017474)". The record is from RNAcentral. Lineage: Eukaryota; Viridiplantae; Streptophyta; Magnoliopsida; Solanales; Solanaceae.